RNAcentral lists this ribosomal RNA (425 nucleotides) under uncultured bacterium. Its description in RNAcentral is "partial 16S ribosomal RNA". It matches the Rfam family "Bacterial small subunit ribosomal RNA", at positions 354 to 796 of the family's 1533-position model. The record is from RNAcentral.
GUGGGGAAUCUUGCACAAUGGGCGAAAGCCUGAUGCAGCCAUGCCGCGUGAAUGAUGAAGGCCUUAGGGUUGUAAAAUUCUUUCGUCAGGGAUGAUAAUGACCGUACCUGAAGAAGAAGCCCCGGCUAACUUCGUGCCAGCAGCCGCGGUAAUACGAAGGGGGCUAGCGUUGCUCGGAAUUACUGGGCGUAAAGGGCGCGUAGGCGGACAGCUUAGUCAGAGGUGAAAGCCCAGGGCUCAACCUUGGAAUUGCCUUUGAUACUGGCUGUCUUGAGUUUGGGAGAGGUGAGUGGAACUCCGAGUGUAGAGGUGAAAUUCGUAGAUAUUCGGAAGAACACCAGUGGCGAAGGCGACUCACUGGCCCAAUACUGACGCUGAGGCGCGAAAGCGUGGGGAGCAAACAGGAUUAGAUACCCGAGUAGUCC